UACGUAGGGGGCAAGCUUUGUCCGGAUUUAUUGGGCGUAAAGAGCGUGUAGGCGGCCAUACAGGUCCGUUGUGAAAACUGGAGGCUUAACCUCCAGACGUCGAUGGAAACCGUAUGGCUAGAGUCCGGAAGAGGAGAGUGGAAUUCCUGGUGUAGCGGUGAAAUGCGCAGAUAUCAGGAAGAACACCCGUGGCGAAGGCGGCUCUCUGGGACGGUACUGACGCUGAGACGCGAAAGCGUGGGGAGCGAACAGG
Molecule: ribosomal RNA, 253 nt
Filed under: uncultured bacterium
Lineage: Bacteria
Description: partial 16S ribosomal RNA
Rfam family: Bacterial small subunit ribosomal RNA
Source: RNAcentral